GAAGNNNNNAAGCGUUAUCCGGAUUUAUUGGGUUUAAAGGGUGCGUAGGCGGACUAUUAAGUCAGUGGUGAAAGCCUGCAGCUUAACUGCAGAACUGCCAUUGAUACUGAUGGUCUUGAGUACAUUUGAGGUGGGCGGAAUGUGUCAUGUAGUGGUGAAAUACUUAGAUAUGACACAGAACUCCGAUUGCGAAGGCAGCUCACUAAACUGUAACUGACGCUGAGGCACGAAAGCGUGGGGAUCAAACAGGAUUAGAUACCCUGGUAGUCCACGCCCUAAACGAUGAUUACUCGAUGUGUGCGAUACACUGUACGCGUCUGAGCGAAAGCAUUAAGUAAUCCACCUGGGGAGUACGGCCGCAAGGCUG
This 367-nucleotide ribosomal RNA is filed under the name uncultured bacterium. Its description in RNAcentral is "bacterial SSU rRNA". It matches the Rfam family "Bacterial small subunit ribosomal RNA", at positions 527 to 896 of the family's 1533-position model. The record is from RNAcentral.